UCCCAUUUUACAGACAUGGAAACAGGAGCUUCCCAGGCAUGUGUGAGUAAUUGCCCACAAGGAGCACAGAACCCAGCGUCAGGCCCUGCUGCCGGCCCCCUGCCUCCCUGUCUGCAUCCUCACUCCUGAGCAAGGCCCACUGGCAGGUGUUUCCUUUCUCCAAACAAGCAGAAGCCUGGAGGCAUCCUGCUCUGGCGCCUUUGCUGACUCUUCUAAUAAGGCUGUCUACAGGAUGAGAGACAAGAGGAAGAGAGAUGAAGAGAGGAAAAGAGACAGUGAGAGGAGAGACACCACAACCCUGCCCUUCUACCUGUGAUGCUUCCCCCACUCCACCCCCACCCCACCCCCAUGCAAGUGCUCCCAAGCAGUGCUACGGGCUCAAACCUGGCACCCUGCCCACGGUGAAGUGUGCACUCUAGCAGGCUAGCUUGCUCCCAGCCCCCUGUCGUUUGUAAUAGAGGUGGUUUUCCUUGGUCACGGCAUUUUAAUUCCUGCUCCUGUCAAGCAUGUCCUGCUAAAAACGGCCGGUGUGCCUGAAGUUCUGGGAAGAGUAUUUUGGUGGUGACCGCCUCCGCACUCGGGAACUUGCCAUGAGGGGGGAACAGCCAGGAGCAUCUGGUGAAAUGUUCGUGGUUUUAUUAGGGAAACACUCAGCAGAGAUGAUGCCUCACACUAGCCGGACAGAGAAAACUUGAGAGAUGAAGACAGAAAUGGAGAAAAACCUCUAAAGCACCACUUCACCACUCAUGAAGCUUCCCCCUACAGGUAGGAACUGGGGGCUUGAACCCAGGUCCAUAUGUAUGAUAACAUGUGCCCUCAGCUAGAUGAACCACCACCUGGCACCAUGUCAUCUGUAACUCUUGUCUGGCUGCAUCUUGCAUCUCAGCAAAGGCAGAGAAAAGCUUAUUGUUGAGGAGUGGAGAUAUUAUUUUAUCUUAAUGAAAGACCUGAGCACUGUUUAGCUUUGGCUUAUAGUGGUUCUGGGGGUUGAACCUGGGACCUCCCAGCGUUGGACAUGAGAGUUUUUAGCAGAACCAUUAUUCUGUCUCCCCAGCCCCGGAAUGGAGUUUUUUUGUUUGUUUGUUUUUUUGCCUCCAGGGUUAUUGCUGGGGCUUGGUGUCUGCACUACAAAUCCACAGCUCCUGGAGGCCACCUCCCCCCACCCCACCCCCUUUUUUGUUGUUGCUCUAGUUGCUGUUGUUGUUGGAUAGGACAAAGAGAAAUCAAGAGAGAUGGGGGAGACGGAGAGAGGGAGAGAAAGACAGACACCUGCAGACCUGCUUCACUGCCUGUGAAACGACUCCCCUACAGGUAGGGAGCUGGGGGCUUGAACCAGGAUCCUUGCACCAGUCCUUGUGCUUUGCACCAUGUGCGCUUAACCAGCUGUGCCACCAUCCGGCACCCUUUGUUUUUACUUUUCCUUUCUUUUCUUUUUUUUUUUUUUUUUAGUUGGGGGAGAAUAAUGGUUUAUAGUCAGCAGAAAAUAUAGAAAUACAGUUGUUGCUACAUGUGUAAAAUUUCUGUUUUCUGCAGAACACUGUCACCCUCAGCCUAGGUUCUCCUCCACCAUCAUGCACCAGGUCCUGAAAGUCUCCCCCCUCCAUCCCUACCCUAGUGCCCCUACCUAGUGCCCCUCUACCCUAGUGAAAGUUUUUUUUUUCCCCCCUUACAGGGUUAUUGCUGGGGCUCAGUGCCUGCACUAGGAAUCUACUACUCCUGGAGCCAUUUUUUUUUUCCAUUUUGUUGCCCUUGUUUAUUGUUGUUAUUGCUGUCAUUAUUGUUGGAUAGGACAAAAAGAAAUUGAGAGAGGAGGGGAAAACAGAGAGGGUGAGAGAAAGAUAGACACCUGCAGAUUUGCUUCACUGCUUGCCAAGCGACCUCCCUGCCGAUGGGGGCCGGGGGCUUGAACCGGGAUCCUCAAGCCAGUCCUUGCGCUUAGUGCCUUGUGUGCUUAACCUGCUGCUCUACUGCCCACUCCAGUGGAGAUUUUAAGAUGAACAGGCUUCCUGACCAACUUGUCAGUGCAAGAGUCAUGGGUGCAGAGAAACCCGGGCUGGGGAGGAGAGGUUGGACUGGGCAGGUUCCCCAGUGCUCUAACCUCUGUGGGUCCUGCCCUGUGAUGAGGACCAGGUGAGGAAAUAGGCAUUGGUUCUCACCCUGGGUGCCAAACAGUAAAUGACUGACAGGGAGGAAAAAUGUAAUUGGGAUAUUUGAAGCCUUGGGCUCCAUCCUGGAGAAGAGGAAGGAAGGAAGGGAGGGAGAGAAGAAGGGAGGGAGGGGUGUAAUUACUCAUCUUCCAGGUACCAUCAACAUUGCUGUGAAGACAUUUUACUGGUUUAAAAAUUAGAACAUGUGGAGUGGUGCAGUGGGUGGAGGCCCAGAGUUCAAUCGUUGGGACAACAAAUACACCAGAGUAAUGCUCUGACUCUCUCUCCUUUAGACACACAUUGUGGCCAGUGAGGUGGUGCUGUAGGUAAAGCACUGGACUCUCAAGCAUGAAAUCACAAGUUCCAUUCUCAGCAUCACUGUCUCAGAGUGAUGCUCUGGUUCUUUCUCUCCUCCCUCUUUCCUUCCCUCUCUUCUUUCCCUAUCUUUCAAAUAAAAACAAGCAAAUAAAUAAAUAGGUGAACACAAGUGUCAUAAGUUGCAUAAGUCAUUCUGCUGGCCCCUAUACAAGGAUUGUAUUUGCAUAUCAUCACUGGAACAGAAUUUAGUCUUUAACAAGUCCAGUAUGUCCUCGUGUCUAUGAUUUAAACAUAGAUGAAUGUUUCUCAUUGAAGAGAGAUGAAUACCAAAUGUUUACUAAACACAUUAUAAAUGACUUAGUAUUUCAGGAGAUUGAAAAUUGGACACCCUUUCCCACCCCACCCUUGUCUCCAAUGUCUGUGAGUGCCAGUUACUCAUGGUGUUAAUUCCACACGUACAGAUCUGUCAGUUUAUCAGGAUACAGCACAGGGUGGGGCAGUGCUGGGGGUGGGUGGUUCUGUAAGGAAUGGAAUCAGGGGUGGAGGAAACAGCAUAAUGGUGAUACAAAAGACUUUCAAGCCUUGGGCUCCAGGCUCCCAGGUUCAAUCCCCAACACCACCAUAAGCCAAGAUUGAGUAGUGCUCUGGUAAAAAUAAAAAUGUAAUAAUAAUAAUAGGCUUUUGCCCACACAUUAUCAUACAUGCAUAUUUUCACUUUUCUUGAAUAAAAGCUUAAAAUUUUCUGAAUAAAUAAACAAGAAAAAAAGAAGUGGAAUCAGAAGACUGGAGUUCUUGGGUUUCCUGAGCCACUUGUGACUACAAACAUGUUUUAAACUUACCUUCCUUUCAAAAUUAGCCCAGAGCAGAGGGAGAGCUCAGUGGUAGCACCAAGCUCUUAUGCCAGCGGCUCCAGGCACUGUCUCAGAGCUGAGCAGUGCUCCAGCCUCUCCACAAAAUCUUUAAAUAACAUGAAGAUAAGUGGCCAAGGAGGUGACACAGUGGGCAAAACAUUGUACUCUCAUGCAUGAGGUCCUGAGCUCAAUCCCCUGGUGUCUCAUGUGCUAGUAUGAUGCUCUGAUUCCCCCUCCCUCUCAA
This is a long non-coding RNA of Erinaceus europaeus (western European hedgehog), 3560 nucleotides long. RefSeq lists it as uncharacterized. The transcript is spliced from 3 exons. Lineage: Eukaryota; Metazoa; Chordata; Mammalia; Eulipotyphla; Erinaceidae. The record is from RefSeq and is a predicted model, not a curated record.